GCAAGUCGAACGGUAACGAUGGAAGCUUGCUUCCAGGCGACGAGUGGCGGACGGGUGAGUACAAAUUAGGAAUCUGCCCAGUAGUGGGGGACAACUCGGGGAAACCCGAGCUAAUACCGCAUACGCCCUAAGGGGGAAAGUGGGGGCCUUUUGGCCUCACGCUAUUGGAUGAGCCUAAUUCGGAUUAGCUUGUUGGUGAGGUAAAAGCUCACCAAGGCGACGAUCCGUAGCUGGUCUGAGAGGACGAUC
Molecule: ribosomal RNA, 249 nt
Filed under: uncultured bacterium
Lineage: Bacteria
Description: partial 16S ribosomal RNA
Rfam family: Bacterial small subunit ribosomal RNA
Source: RNAcentral